UUGUUUUGACAACAUAUAUGCUAAUAUUAGAACAGUACAGAGAAAACUAGCAGGAAACUUGUACCGGACUACAUGAAAAUUUAUGAGGGGUUUCACAUUUUU
Kogia breviceps (pygmy sperm whale) is the source of this 102-nucleotide small nuclear RNA. The record is from RefSeq and is a predicted model, not a curated record. Lineage: Eukaryota; Metazoa; Chordata; Mammalia; Artiodactyla; Physeteridae.